This 253-nucleotide ribosomal RNA is filed under the name uncultured bacterium. Its description in RNAcentral is "partial 16S ribosomal RNA". It matches the Rfam family "Bacterial small subunit ribosomal RNA", at positions 524 to 776 of the family's 1533-position model. The record is from RNAcentral.
GACGUAGGGCGCGAGCGUUGUCCGGAUUUAUUGGGCGUAAAGAGCUCGUAGGCGGCUUGUCGCGUCGUUCGUGAAAACCCGGGGCUCAACUCCGGGCUUGCGGGCGAUACGGGCAGGCUAGAGUUCGGUAGGGGAGACUGGAAUUCCUGGUGUAGCGGUGAAAUGCGCAGAUAUCUGGAGGAACACCGGUGGCGAAGGCGGCAUCCUGGACCGACACUGACGCUGAGGAGCGAAAGCCAGGGGAGCAAACGGG